GUUUUAAAGGCAUGUAUUACGUGGAUAUGUGCCUCCGUAUUUGGGUAGUUCCAUAUCCUGUUGUUACUUUUCAUGCUUCAACAUGUUCUUGGACUGGGUGGUGAGGAAGGAGGCUGGGAUAGACUCCUUGCUACACUACCUCAAUGAUUUCAUUUGUGUGGGUCCUGCCGACUCGCCAGCCUGUGCGCUGCUGCAACGGGUUCUGGGUGAGGUGUUCCAUAAGUU
Pelobates cultripes (western spadefoot toad) is the source of this 225-nucleotide non-coding RNA. The record is from the annotation of a GenBank genome assembly. NCBI's taxonomy places the organism in Eukaryota, Metazoa, Chordata, Amphibia, Anura, Pelobatidae.